AUGGCUUUCUACAAUACAAUAAAACACCUUGUAAGCCUCAUUGCCCUAUUCUAUGUAGCUGAAGCAGUGCUAAAAAAUUUGACAGCACAAAGUUGUGGCUGUGCCCCAGAGAUAUGUUGUAGCCAGUAUGGCGACGGCGGCAGCGGAGAUGGUUACUGGGGCCAGGGUUAUAAAGAAGGCCGUUGUACUAGCAGCGGUGGCAGCACAACUACCACACCAAGGACCAGUGGUAGUGGUGGUUCGUCGGUGGCUGAUAUUGUAACCCCAGAAUUCUUCAACAGGAUCAUUAACCAAGUGUUUAGGCCUAGUUUUUACGAAUCCAAAAUUAAAGCUAAUUGGUCCAAGUACAUGAUUUGGGCUUUAA
Molecule: long non-coding RNA, 364 nt
Filed under: Prunus dulcis (almond)
Lineage: Eukaryota; Viridiplantae; Streptophyta; Magnoliopsida; Rosales; Rosaceae
Description: sRNA ncRNA
Source: RNAcentral